AGAGUUUUGGAUCCUGGCUCAGGAUGAACGGCUGGCGGCGUGCCUAACACAUGCAAGUCGAACGAAGACUGUGUGACGGAACUCUCCGGAGGGAAGACGCGCAGGACUGAGUGGCGGACGGGUGAGUAACGCGUGGGUAACCUGCCCUGUACAGGGGGACAACAGCUGGAAACGGCUGCUAAUACCGCAUAAGCCUACAGUACCGCAUGGUACAGCAGGAAAAACUCCGGUGGUACAGGAUGGGCCCGCGUCUGAUUAGUUAGUUGGCAGGGUAACGGCCUACCAAGACAACGAUCAGUAGCCGGCUUGAGAGAGUGAACGGCCACAUUGGGACUGAGACACGGCCCAAACUCCUACGGGAGGCAGCAGUGGGGGAAUAUUGCACAAUGGGGGGAAACCCUGAUGCAGCAACGCCGCGUGAGUGAAGAAGUAUUUCGGUAUGUAAAGCUCUAUCAGCAGGGAAGAAAAUGACGGUACCUGACUAAGAAGCUCCGGCUAAAUACGUG
Molecule: ribosomal RNA, 506 nt
Filed under: uncultured Lachnospiraceae bacterium
Lineage: Bacteria; Bacillati; Bacillota; Clostridia; Lachnospirales; Lachnospiraceae
Description: bacterial SSU rRNA
Rfam family: Bacterial small subunit ribosomal RNA
Source: RNAcentral